This 359-nucleotide transfer RNA is filed under the name uncultured Microcystis sp. Its description in RNAcentral is "partial 16S-23S ribosomal RNA intergenic spacer". The stretch from base 134 to 207 matches the Rfam family "tRNA". Lineage: Bacteria; Bacillati; Cyanobacteriota; Cyanophyceae; Chroococcales; Microcystaceae. The record is from RNAcentral.
AAAGGGAGACCUAAUUCGGGUAUAAGACGAAAAAAUAGUAGUCGAAACCAAGAAUCAAUCCCAAAAGGUCGGAACGAGGUAUGUGGCUUUCAAACUAGGUUCUGGGUUCAUAAAAGACCUGAAUCAGGAACAAGGGCUAUUAGCUCAGGUGGUUAGAGCGCACCCCUGAUAAGGGUGAGGUCCCUGGUUCGAGUCCAGGAUGGCCCACCUGCACAGGUGGCAAAAACAAGAGAAGCGAGGAAUCAGCACCUUAUCCUAAUUUAUAUAUAGGAGAGAAUGCUGGCUCUGAGUAAAGAGUCCAGAGGAACCUUGAAAACUGCAUAGAGCUAGGUGAAAAAGCCAAAAAAGAAGGCCGCAAG